CCCUUCGAUGUUCUGGGCCGCACGCGCGCUACACUGAUGCGUUCAGCAAGCUCUCUAACCUUCACCGAUAGGUGUGGGUAAUCUUCUGAAAGCGCAUCGUGUUUGGGCUAGAUGAUUGCAAUUAUUCAUCUUCAACGAGGAAUACCUAGUAAGCGCAAGUCAUCAACUUGCAUUGAUUACGUCCCUGCCCUUUGUACACACCGCCCGUCGCUCCUACCGAUUGAACGAUCCGGUGAAAUCUCGGGACGGCGGCUUGGUCGCUUGCGUCCGACUGCUGAAACUUGAUUAAACCAUAUCAUUUAGAGGAAGGUGAAGUCGUAACA
Molecule: ribosomal RNA, 323 nt
Filed under: uncultured eukaryote
Lineage: Eukaryota
Description: partial 18S ribosomal RNA
Rfam family: Eukaryotic small subunit ribosomal RNA
Source: RNAcentral